CGGAUUCAUUUGGGAUGACUUAGUGGCGGACGGGUGAGUAACGCGUGGGUAACCUGCCCCAUAGAGGGGGACAACAGUUAGAAAUGACUGCUAAUACCGCAUAGUAGGACGAAACCGCAUGUUUUUGUCUUGAAAGCUUUAGCGCUAUGGGAUGGACCCGCGUCUGAUUAGUUAGUUGGUGAGGUAACGGCCCACCAAGGCGACGAUCAGUAGCCGGCUUGAGAGAGUGAACGGCCACAUUGGGACUGAGACACGGCCCAAACUCCUACGGGAGGCAGCAGUGGGGAAUAUUGCACAAUGGGGGAAACCCUGAUGCAGCGACGCCGCGUGAGUGAAGAAGUAUUUCGGUAUGUAAAGCUCUAUCAGCAGGAAAGAUAAUGACGGUACCUGACUAAGAAGCCCCGGCUAACUACGUGCCAGCAGCCGCGGUAAUACGUAGGGGGCAAGCGUUAUCCGGAUUUACUGGGUGUAAAGGGUGCGUAGGUGGCGGGGCAAGUCAGAUGUGAAAGCCCGGGGCUCAACCCCGGUACUGCAUUUGAAACUGUUCUGCUAGAGUGCCGGAGAGGUAAGUGGAAUUCCUAGUGUAGCGGUGAAAUGCGUAGAUAUUAGGAGGAACACCAGUGGCGAA
RNAcentral lists this ribosomal RNA (628 nucleotides) under uncultured rumen bacterium. RNAcentral describes it as "bacterial SSU rRNA". It matches the Rfam family "Bacterial small subunit ribosomal RNA", at positions 75 to 719 of the family's 1533-position model. The record is from RNAcentral.